AGAUUGAACGCUAGCGGGAUGCUUUACACAUGCAAGUCGAACGGCAGCGCGGACUUCGGUCUGGCGGCGAGUGGCGAACGGGUGAGUAAUAUAUCGGAACGUGCCCAGUAGCGGGGGAUAACUACGCGAAAGCGUGGCUAAUACCGCAUACGCCCUACGGGGGAAAGGGGGGGAUCGCAAGACCUCUCACUAUUGGAGCGGCCGAUAUCAGAUUAGCUAGUUGGUGAGGUAAAGGCUCACCAAGGCGACGAUCUGUAGCUGGUUUGAGAGGACGACCAGCCACACUGGGACUGAGACACGGCCCAGACUCCUACGGGAGGCAGCAGUGGGGAAUUUGGACAAUGGGGGAAACCUGAUCCAGCCAUCCCGCGUGUGCGAUGAAGGCCUCGGGCUAGUAAAGCUACUUUCGUCGUAGGAAGAAACGGACGUCGACCCUAAGUAACGGACGUACACUACGACGGUACC
RNAcentral lists this ribosomal RNA (465 nucleotides) under uncultured soil bacterium. Its description in RNAcentral is "bacterial SSU rRNA". It matches the Rfam family "Bacterial small subunit ribosomal RNA", at positions 26 to 491 of the family's 1533-position model. The record is from RNAcentral.